AGGUCAAGUAGAAAAGGGCGCAUGGUGAAUGCCUUGGCACUAGAAGCCGAUGAAGGACGUGACGAACCACGAAAGGCUUCGGGGAGCAGUAAGUAAGCAAUGAUCCGGAGAUAUCCGAAUGGGGGAACCCAAUACCGUGAGGUAUUAUCAUUAACUGUUAAGGUUAAUGAAGGAAGACGCAGUGAACUGAAACAUCUAAGUAGCUGCAGGAAGAGAAAGAAAAAUCGAUUUCCCAAGUAGCGGCGAGCGAACAGGAAAGAGCCCAAACCAGCUGGCUUGCCAGUUGGGGUUGUAGGACUGCGAUAUA
This 307-nucleotide ribosomal RNA is filed under the name Lactobacillus johnsonii. Its description in RNAcentral is "partial 23S ribosomal RNA". It matches the Rfam family "Bacterial large subunit ribosomal RNA", at positions 1 to 315 of the family's 2925-position model. The record is from RNAcentral. Lineage: Bacteria; Bacillati; Bacillota; Bacilli; Lactobacillales; Lactobacillaceae.